GGGGGGGGGGGGGGGGGGGGGGGGGGGGGGGGGGGCGGGCGGGGGGGGGGGGGGGGGGGCGGCGUGGCGGACGGGGGGCGGGCGGGGGAGGAAGGCGUGGGCAGCUGCCGGAUGGAGGGGGAGAACUACGGGAGACGGUAGCUAAUACCGCCUACCGUCGCAAGCCCAAGGAGGGCGGCCUUCGGCCCCCCUGCCAUCGCCUGUGCCCCGAUGGGAUGCGCGAGUAGGCGGGAUAACGGCUCACCUCGGCGACGAUCCCUAGCUGGUCUGAGAGGAUGACCAGCCACACUGGAACUGAGACACGGUCCAGACUCCUACGGGAGGCAGCAGUGGGGAAUAUUGCACAAUGGGCGCAAGCCUGAUGCAGCCAUGCCGCGUGUAUGAAGAAGGCCUUCGGGUUGUAAAGUACUUUCAGCGGGGAGGAAGGGAGUAAAGUUAAUACCUUUACUCAUUGACGUUACCCGAAGAAGAAGCACCGGCUAACUCCGUG
RNAcentral lists this ribosomal RNA (490 nucleotides) under uncultured bacterium. RNAcentral's name for it is "partial 16S ribosomal RNA". The stretch from base 59 to 490 matches the Rfam family "Bacterial small subunit ribosomal RNA", at positions 39 to 507 of the family's 1533-position model. The record is from RNAcentral.